Molecule: ribosomal RNA, 218 nt
Filed under: Mycetomoellerius sp. A GR-2021
Lineage: Eukaryota; Metazoa; Arthropoda; Insecta; Hymenoptera; Formicidae
Description: partial large subunit ribosomal RNA
Source: RNAcentral
GAAUUUUAUAUAUUUAUGCGAAUUAAAGGUUAAAUUUAAUUAAAAAUGUAUUGGUAUAUUUGAUUGGGAGGAUUGUUAAAUUAGAUAAACUUUAAUUAAUAUAAAAUAUAAAUUAAUAUAAAUUAAUUAAGGAGGAAAUUUUAAUUGAAUAAGAAUUAAUUACCUCAGGGAUAACAGCGUAAUAGUUUCGGAAAGUUCAUAUUUAUGAAAUUGAUUGC